AACGAACGCUGGCGGCAUGCCUAACACAUGCAAGUCGAACGAAGCCUUCGGGCUUAGUGGCGCACGGGUGCGUAACGCGUGGGAAUCUGCCCCUUGCUUCGGAAUAACAGUUAGAAAUGACUGCUAAUACCGGAUGAAGUCUUCGGACCAAAGAUUUAUCGGCAAGGGAUGAGCCCGCGUAGGAUUAGGUAGUUGGUGGGGUAAAGGCCUACCAAGCCGACGAUCCUUAGCUUGUCUGAGAGGAUGAUCAGCCACACUGGGACUGAGACACGGCCCAGACUCCUACGGGAGGCAGCAGUGGGGAAUAUUGGAAAAUGGACGCAAGUCUGAUGCAGCAAUGCCGCGUGAGUGAUGAAGGCCUUAGGGUUGUAAAGCUCUUUUACCAGGGAUGAUAAUGACAGUACCUGGAGAAUAAGCUCCGGCUAACUCCGUG
RNAcentral lists this ribosomal RNA (433 nucleotides) under uncultured bacterium. RNAcentral describes it as "partial 16S ribosomal RNA". It matches the Rfam family "Bacterial small subunit ribosomal RNA", at positions 29 to 507 of the family's 1533-position model. The record is from RNAcentral.